Molecule: ribosomal RNA, 162 nt
Filed under: uncultured bacterium
Lineage: Bacteria
Description: partial 16S rRNA
Rfam family: Bacterial small subunit ribosomal RNA
Source: RNAcentral
GGAAUCUUCGGCAAUGGGGGCAACCCUGACCGAGCAACGCCGCGUGAGUGAAGAAGGUUUUCGGAUCGUAAAGCUCUGUUGUAAGAGAAGAACGUGUGUGAGAGUGGAAAGUUCACACAGUGACGGUAACUUACCAGAAAGGGACGGCUAACUACGUGCCAC